CAAAGGUGAGCCAGUACAGGAUGGACCCGCGUCUGAUUAGCUAGUUGGUAAGGUAACGGCUUACCAAGGCGACGAUCAGUAGCCGACCUGAGAGGGUGAUCGGCCACAUUGGAACUGAGACACGGUCCAAACUCCUACGGGAGGCAGCAGUGGGGAAUAUUGCACAAUGGGCGAAAGCCUGAUGCAGCAACGCCGCGUGAGUGAUGAAGGCCUUCGGGUCGUAAAACCCUGUCCUCAAGGAAGAUAAUGACGGUACUUGAGGAGGAAGCCCCGGCUAACUACGUGCCAGCAGCCGCGGUAAUACGUAGGGGGCUAGCGUUAUCCGGAUUUACUGGGCGUAAAGGGUGCGUAGGCGGUCUUUCAAGUCAGGAGUGAAAGGCUACGGCUCAACCGUAGUAAGCUCUUGAAACUGGGAGACUUGAGUGCAGGAGAGGAGAGUGGAAUUCCUAGUGUAGCGGUGAAAUGCGUAGAUAUUAGGAGGAACACCAGUUGCGAAGGCGGCUCUCUGGACUGUAACUGACGCUGAGGCACGAAAGCGUGGGGAGCAAACAGGAUUAGAUACCCUGGUAGUCCACGCUGUAAACGAUGAGUACUAGGUGUCGGGGGUUAC
RNAcentral lists this ribosomal RNA (610 nucleotides) under uncultured bacterium. RNAcentral's name for it is "bacterial SSU rRNA". It matches the Rfam family "Bacterial small subunit ribosomal RNA", at positions 202 to 833 of the family's 1533-position model. The record is from RNAcentral.